GCCGAAGUGGUGAAAUUGGUAUACACGCAUGACUCAAAAUCAUGUGAGGGCAACCUCGUGUGGGUUCGAGUCCCACCUUCGGCA
This 84-nucleotide transfer RNA is filed under the name Ignavibacteriales bacterium. RNAcentral's name for it is "tRNA-Leu". It matches the Rfam family "tRNA". Rfam says of the family: Transfer RNA (tRNA) molecules are approximately 80 nucleotides in length. Their secondary structure includes four short double-helical elements and three loops (D, anti-codon, and T loops). Lineage: Bacteria; Pseudomonadati; Ignavibacteriota; Ignavibacteria; Ignavibacteriales. RNAcentral also lists the same sequence under 2 other names. The record is from RNAcentral.